This 833-nucleotide ribosomal RNA is filed under the name Digitodesmium chishuiense. RNAcentral describes it as "Digitodesmium JY-2022a partial large subunit ribosomal RNA". It matches the Rfam family "Eukaryotic large subunit ribosomal RNA", at positions 50 to 919 of the family's 3401-position model. Lineage: Eukaryota; Fungi; Ascomycota; Dothideomycetes; Pleosporales. The record is from RNAcentral.
GCGGAGGAAAAGAAACCAACAGGGAUUGCCCUAGUAACGGCGAGUGAAGCGGCAACAGCUCAAAUUUGAAAUCUGGUCUCUUUUCGAGGCCCGAGUUGUAAUUUGCAGAGGGCGCUUUGGCGUCGGUAGCGGUCUAAGUUCCUUGGAACAGGACGUCACAGAGGGUGAGAAUCCCGUACGUGGUCGCCUACCUUCGCCGUGUAAAGCCCCUUCGACGAGUCGAGUUGUUUGGGAAUGCAGCUCUAAAUGGGAGGUAAAUUUCUUCUAAAGCUAAAUACCGGCCAGAGACCGAUAGCGCACAAGUAGAGUGAUCGAAAGAUGAAAAGCACUUUGGAAAGAGAGUCAAACAGCACGUGAAAUUGUUGAAAGGGAAGCGCUUGCCGCCAGACUUGCCCGUGGUGGUUCUCCUCCGCGGGUAGGCCAGCAUCAGUUUGGGCGAUCGGAUAAUGGCCUCUGUCAUGUAUCUUCCUUCGGGAUGACCUUAUAGGGGAGUCGUAGUGCGUUCAGCCCGGACUGAGGUUCGCGCAUCUGCUAGGAUGCUGGCGUAAUGGCUGCAAGCGGCCCGUCUUGAAACACGGACCAAGGAGUCUAACAUCUAUGCGAGUGUUUGGGUGUCAAGCCCGAGCGCGUAAUGAAAGUGAACGGAGGUGGGAACCCCCUCUAGGGGUGCACCAUCGACCGAUCCUGAAGUCUUCGGAUGGAUUUGAGUAAGAGCAUGGCUGUUGGGACCCGAAAGAUGGUGAACUAUGCUUGAAUAGGGUGAAGCCAGAGGAAACUCUGGUGGAGGCUCGCAGCGGUUCUGACGUGCAAAUCGAUCGUCAAAUUUGGGCAUA